UGCCAGGGAUGAUUAACCAGAUAGGGACAACUGAUCUUACGAUGAGAAAAGUCUGAGGUUUGUUUUUAGUAGAACUACCGUUUCUGAGG
RNAcentral lists this small nucleolar RNA (89 nucleotides) under Komagataella phaffii GS115. Its description in RNAcentral is "small nucleolar RNA snR64". It matches the Rfam family "Small nucleolar RNA snR64". Rfam says of the family: snR64 is a member of the C/D class of snoRNA which contain the C (UGAUGA) and D (CUGA) box motifs. Most of the members of the box C/D family function in directing site-specific 2'-O-methylation of substrate RNAs. The record is from Rfam by way of RNAcentral. Lineage: Eukaryota; Fungi; Ascomycota; Pichiomycetes; Pichiales; Pichiaceae.